RNAcentral lists this ribosomal RNA (253 nucleotides) under uncultured bacterium. Its description in RNAcentral is "partial 16S ribosomal RNA". It matches the Rfam family "Bacterial small subunit ribosomal RNA", at positions 524 to 776 of the family's 1533-position model. The record is from RNAcentral.
UACGGGGGGGGCAAGCGUUGUUCGGAAUUACUGGGCGUAAAGGGCUCGUAGGCGGCCAACUAAGUCAGACGUGAAAUCCCUCGGCUUAACCGGAGAACUGCGUCUGAUACUGGAUGGCUUGAGUUCGGGAGAGGGAUGCGGAAUUCCAGGUGUAGCGGUGAAAUGCGUAGAUAUCUGGAGGAACACCGGUGGCGAAGGCGGCAUCCUGGACCGACACUGACGCUGAGGAGCGAAAGCCAGGGGAGCAAACGGG